GAAAGUAAUAAAGAGCGUAUGGGGGAUGCCUAGGCUCUUGGAGGCGAAGAAGGACGUGGUAAGCUGCGAAAAGUCGCGGGGAUUUGCAAACGAGAAUUGAUCCGCGAAUAUCCGAAUGGGACAACCCGGCAGGCAGAAGGCCUGUCACCCAGCAAUGGGGGCUAACCCUCUGAACUGAAACAUCUAAGUAGGAGGAGGAGAAGAAAGAAACAUCGAUUUCCAAAGUAGCGGCGAGCGAAAUGGAAGGAGCCCAAACCGGUAUUGUUACGGCAAUGCCGGGGUUAUAGGACUGCGAGAUUCGAAGGACAAAGAACUGGAAAGAUUUGGAAAAGUCGACCAUAGAGAGUGAAAGUCUCGUACAGGUAAUUGAGUUCAAAGAUAGCAGUAUCCUGAGUAUGGCGGGACACGAGGAAUCCAGUCAGAAUUUGCCGGGACCACCCGGUAAGGCUAAAUACUCCCAAGAGACCGAUAGUGAACCAGUACUGUGAAGGAAAGGUGAAAAGAACCCCGAACAGGGGAGUGAAAAAGAACCUGAAACCAUACGCUUACAACCUGUCGGAGCGGCUUUGUGCCGUGACGGCGUGCCUAUUGAAUAAUGAGCCUACGAGUUACUAAUCACUGGCGAGGUUAAGUGCUAGGAAGCACGGAGCCGAAGCGAAAGCGAGUCUGAACAGGGCGUUUAGUCAGUGGUUGUAGACGCGAAACCUUGCGAUCUACCCUUGAGCAGGAUGAAGGUUGGGUAAAGCCAACUGGAGGUCCGAACGAAUAAGCGUUGAAAAGCUUCUCGAUGACUUGAGGGUAGGAGUGAAAGGCCAAUCAAGCUGGGAAAUAGCUCGUACUCCCCGAAAUGCCUUUAGGGGCAGCGUUGUAAUAAAGAGUCUACUGGAGGUAGAGCUACUGAUUGGAUGCGGGGGCUUCACCGCCUACCAAAUCCUGACAAACUCCGAAUGCCAGUAGUAUGAUUUACAGCAGUGAGCGACCGGGUGCUAAUGUCCGGUGACAAAAGAGGAACAACUCAGACCAGCAACUAAGGUCCCCAAGCGUAUGCUAAGUUGAACUAACGAUGUUUUGUUGCAUAGACAGCUAGGAUGUUAGCUUGGAAGCAGCUAUUCAUUCAAAGAGUGCGUAACAGCUCACUAGUCGAGCGACAAAGCGUGGAUAAUAAACGGGCAUCAAGCAUACCACCGAAGUUCUGGGCGCGAAAGCGCGGUAGGGGAGCAUUCCAUUCAGCGUUGAAGCAGCGUCGUGAGAUGUUGUGGAGCGUAUGGAAAAGCAAAUGUAGGCAUGAGUAACGAUAAUGCGGGAGAGUAACCCGCACACCGCAAGACCAAGGUUUCCUGAUCAACGCUAAUCGGAUCAGGGUUAGUCGGGUCCUAAGGGUAAGCCGAACGGUGAUCUCGAUGGACAAUCGGUUAAUAUUCCGAUACUAACAUAUACCUCGAUGGAGAGACGAAGGAACGUAAGUGACGCCGCCUGACGGAAUAGGUGGUUAAAGGGCGUAGGUAUAGGGACAGAUUAAGAGUUAGUCCUUGCUGAAACCCGACAGUACGGAGCGGCUACGGCCAAUCUGAUAGUUCACCCAAGUCGACUUCCGAGAAAAUCUUCUAAGUUAUAGUAUAUGUUACCCGUACCGUAAACCGACACAGGUGGUCGAGGAGAGUAUCCUAAGGUGCUCGAGUGAAUCACGGUUAAGGAACUAGGCAAAUUAACCCCGUAACUUCGGGAAAAGGGGUCCCUACGCGAGUAGGGCGCAGCGAAGAGGUCCAGGCGACUGUUUAUCAAAAACACAGGGCUCUGCAAAUUCGAAAGAAGACGUAUAGGGCCUGACACCUGCCCGGUGCUGGAAGGUUAAGAGGGGAUGUCAUCGCAAGAGAAGCAUUGAAUCGAAGCCCCAGUAAACGGCGGCCGUAACUAUAACGGUCCUAAGGUAGCGAAAUUCCUUGUCGGGUAAGUUCCGACCUG
This 1962-nucleotide ribosomal RNA is filed under the name human gut metagenome. RNAcentral's name for it is "bacterial LSU rRNA". It matches the Rfam family "Bacterial large subunit ribosomal RNA", at positions 1 to 1990 of the family's 2925-position model. The record is from RNAcentral.